This 438-nucleotide ribosomal RNA is filed under the name Listeria monocytogenes. RNAcentral's name for it is "partial 23S ribosomal RNA". It matches the Rfam family "Bacterial large subunit ribosomal RNA", at positions 1141 to 1576 of the family's 2925-position model. The record is from RNAcentral. Lineage: Bacteria; Bacillati; Bacillota; Bacilli; Caryophanales; Listeriaceae.
CUCACUGGUCGAGUGACCCCGCGCCGAAAAUGUACCGGGGCUAAACAUAUUACCGAAACUGUGGAUGAACCUCAUUAGAGGUUCGUGGUAGGAGAGCGUUCUAAGGGCGGUGAAGUCAGACCGGAAGGACUGGUGGAGCGCUUAGAAGUGAGAAUGCCGGUAUGAGUAGCGAAAGAAGGGUGAGAAUCCCUUCCACCGAAUAUCUAAGGUUUCCUGAGGAAGGCUCGUCCGCUCAGGGUUAGUCGGGACCUAAGCCGAGGCCGAUAGGCGUAGGCGAUGGACAACAGGUAGAGAUUCCUGUACCAGUGCUAAUUGUUUAACCGAUGGGGUGACACAGAAGGAUAGGGAAUCGCACGAAUGGAAAUGUGCGUCCAAGCAGUGAGUGUGAGAAGUAGGCAAAUCCGCUUCUCGCGAAGCAUGAGCUGUGAUGGGGAAGGA